CGUACACUCCUACGGGAGGCAGCAGUGGGGAAUAUUGCACAAUGGGCGCAAGCCUGAUGCAGCCAUGCCGCGUGUAUGAAGAAGGCCUUCGGGUUGUAAAGUACUUUCAGCGGGGAGGAAGGCGAUAAGGUUAAUAACCUUGUCGAUUGACGUUACCCGCAGAAGAAGCACCGGCUAACUCCGUGCCAGCAGCCGCGGUAAUACGGAGGGUGCAAGCGUUAAUCGGAAUUACUGGGCGUAAAGCGCACGCAGGCGGUCUGUCAAGUCGGAUGUGAAAUCCCCGGGCUCAACCUGGGAACUGCAUUGGAAACUGGCAGGCUAGAGUCUUGUAGAGGGGGGUAGAAUUCCAGGUGUAGCGGUGAAAUGCGUAGAGAUCUGGAGGAAUACCGGUGGCGAAGGCGGCCCCCUGGACAAAGACUGACGCUCAGGUGCGAAAGCGUGGGGAGCAAACAGGAUUAGAAACCCCUGUAGUCCCA
This 476-nucleotide ribosomal RNA is filed under the name uncultured organism. Its description in RNAcentral is "partial 16S ribosomal RNA". It matches the Rfam family "Bacterial small subunit ribosomal RNA", at positions 330 to 797 of the family's 1533-position model. The record is from RNAcentral.